UCUUCUUCUGUUCUGUUUUUCACAAUGGGCCAAUAUUUUAAGCUUGUUGGUCUAGUGGAUCCCACCAUUAGGCAUGCUGCAUAAUGUGUAAAAAAUAUGGUUGCUUGAACCUGAAGUGUUAUGAUAACUAUGAAAGUUUUGUUACUCUUUAUGUUUUCAUUAGAUUCCUUUUCUGUAAGUUGUAUAUCUGGAUAAGAUUCCUGAAAGAUGUGCUGUUGGCUAUCAGUUAUAAUUUUCGUUAAACUAGCAUGUGAAUUGAAUUGGGAGCUG
RNAcentral lists this unclassified non-coding RNA (270 nucleotides) under Hevea brasiliensis (rubber tree). The record is from RNAcentral. Lineage: Eukaryota; Viridiplantae; Streptophyta; Magnoliopsida; Malpighiales; Euphorbiaceae.